This 59-nucleotide transfer RNA is filed under the name Serratia fonticola. RNAcentral's name for it is "tRNA-Arg". It matches the Rfam family "tRNA", at positions 8 to 63 of the family's 71-position model. Rfam says of the family: Transfer RNA (tRNA) molecules are approximately 80 nucleotides in length. Their secondary structure includes four short double-helical elements and three loops (D, anti-codon, and T loops). Lineage: Bacteria; Pseudomonadati; Pseudomonadota; Gammaproteobacteria; Enterobacterales; Yersiniaceae. The record is from RNAcentral.
UGACUCAGUGAGAUAGAGCAACGAUCUUCUAAGCCGUAGGCUACAGGUUCAAAUCCUGU